UGCCAGACUCCUACGGGAGGCAGCAGUGAGGAAUAUUGGUCAAUGGUCGGGAGACUGAACCAGCCAAGCCGCGUGAGGGAUGAAGGUACAGAGUAUCGUAAACCUCUUUUGUCGGGGAACAAAGGCGGGGACGCGUCCCCGGAUGAGUGUACCUGAAGAAAAAGCAUCGGCUAACUCCGUGCCAGCAGCCGCGGUAAUACGGAGGAUGCGAGCGUUGUCCGGAAUCAUUGGGCGUAAAGCGUUCGUAGGCGGUAAAGUAAGUCAGAUGUUAAAGCCCGGGGCUCAACUCCGGUUCGGCAUUUGAUACUACUUGACUAGAAUGCGGUAGAGGUAAAGGGAAUUCCUGGUGUAGCGGUGAAAUGCGUAGAUAUCAGGAGGAACAUCGGUGGCGAAAGCGCUUUACUGGGCCGUUAUUGACGCUGAGGAACGAAAGCCAGGGUAGCAAACGGGAUUAGAUACCCUCGUACUA
Molecule: ribosomal RNA, 469 nt
Filed under: uncultured bacterium
Lineage: Bacteria
Description: bacterial SSU rRNA
Rfam family: Bacterial small subunit ribosomal RNA
Source: RNAcentral